Molecule: small RNA, 3173 nt
Filed under: Pan troglodytes (chimpanzee)
Lineage: Eukaryota; Metazoa; Chordata; Mammalia; Primates; Hominidae
Description: processed transcript
Source: RNAcentral
CCCGGGCGCGCCGUAGCCGCGGGGCCCGGGCCGGGCGCUACGCUACGAAGGCAGCGUAAGGCGGGCGCCGGACGCGGGCAGGGGCCGGGGCCGGAGCCGGGUCGGGGCGCCCCGCGGCUGAGGAGCGGGAGGCCGUCCGGGCAGCGCGGCCGGCGGCGAGAGGGGCCCCGCCGCUCUCCGGAGGCAGAAGUUGUGGAUCGGCCGGCGGGGGCGAGCGGGCCGGGGCCGGGCCGCGCUGCCCGGGCCGCGAGGACGAGGCGGCGCCGCCGGGCUGUGGAGGCAGCAGCCCAGACGCGGCACAGAGAGGGCCUGGGAGCUUGCUGCAGCUUCAGACGGAGCCAGGAUAGGAACCACGGACUGACCUGACCUGCGUCCUCGGGGCCACUGCACUGGGUGAUUCACGUGUGCCCAGGCCCUGAGGUGGGCCGGACCUGGGAGUGGCAGGCUCCUCUCUUCUCUUCCGAGCACCCACGGGAGGGGACUGUGCUGUCCCUGCUCUCCUAGGACAGGCCUCCCUCCUGUCCAGAUGGGGCCCACAGGGUCAGUUGCCUGAGACUGGCUCCAGCUCAAGAAAGGUUUUCUGAGUGAGCGCAGGGGAGCAGGAGGCUGGUGAGCAGCUCGCUUCCUGCCCUGGGUGCAGCUGGGCACCACUUCUGCCUUGGGCCUGCUAAAGGCAUCAGUGAGGAGCAGGCGGGGCCUGGUAGGAGCCUGUGUUUCUAGCAGCACGUGUGACCCCAGGUGCCACGUGGGUGAGUGCGUGGGUGGGUGAGUGGUGAAGGAGCUGAGGUUGGCCCCGGCAGGUGUGCAGUCCUCACACAGAACGGGCAGGGCUCCUGUCAGAGCCAAACCAGCUCAGGGCCCGGUGCAAGCAGCUUUUGUCCCGUGGCACCUCCGCUAGUCGCCGCUCCCACCCAAGCCCUGCCCUGCCCCGCCCUGCCCCGCUCAGGGUUUGGCUACAGAAGGGGAGUGUCGGAAAUGCCCAACCCGUCUCCCGUGACGGACUCCUGCGUGGCCUGGGCUGGGGAACGCAGGGGCCGUUUGGGUGCUUCCGGCAUCUGGCGUAGCCACGCGAGAGGCCCUGGGUUGAUGCGUGGGCUCCCUGCUAGCGAGCCUGCUCCGUGCGUGCUGGGCUCCCGGCCUUGCUUCCGUGUGGCAUUCGAGGCCCCGUGGACCUCGCCUGCGUCCUGCAUGUUUGAGCGCUGCCCCUCGUGGAGGCCGCCAGCACUGGUGGCUGCAGGGCCUGUAGUGUGGCACGUCCAGAGACCCGGCCUGGAGAACGGGUCCUGGAUGUCUCCGUCAUGUUUUACGUUCGCUUCACACGGACGCAGCGAUGUCUCAGAUACCUCGGAUCACACAGAGCACGUCGCCAAGGCUUGUUUUGUCUGUUCCUUUCCACCUGUCUUACGUGGCUACCAGGAGAUCCGCCACGACUCCCGUGGCCCCCGUCCACACUGCGCGGUGCUCUCCGGCGUGGCCGCCAGGUGCCCCUUCGAGAGCAGGUGUGAGUACAGGGUGGUCCCUGUGGAGAAGCACCUGCAGGCGAGUGAGCCAGGCUGUACCCUGCAGACCCCGAGGCCUGAAUUUCAUGGAACUCUCACCUCUCACAGAGUAUUGUUUUUCUUUUGAUUUUUUUCCAACCAUUUAAAAAUUUACAAGCCAUUGUUGACUUGCGGGCUGGACCAGGCUUAGGGCUGGGCUCUGGUCCGCACCCCACACUGGCCCCGUGUGUCCUGUGACCGUUCUGCCUACGGGGCAGGCCUGAGCCACCACAGGAUGGCAGGGUCUCCAGGGUGCAGGGCCCGCAAUGCUUCAACCCUCCCACGACCCCAGCACCUUCAGAGAAAACGGACCCUCGUGCCGAGUGAAGUGGUUCAGGCGAACGUUAUCACCACACGGGGGACUCGGCGGCUUCUGCCCCAGGCCUCAAAGGAGAGGGGAUCCAGAAUUCUCUGUCUCACCCCCUCAGCCCCUGCCCUUGAAGCUUCUGUCCCCAAGGCUGUGGGGAGGAACCAGGGAAGGGCUGGCGCGUCUGCUGUGCAAUCCCAGGUGCUCGUGCCUCGCUGAGCUCAGCCCCUGCGGCCUCAGAGCUGCAGGCCCCUCCCGGGUGUCAGAGCACUGACUGGAAAGGCCCCCCACAUCCCUGCCCUCUGCUGCUCCCCAUCGUCGUGGGGGAGAAGUGGAACUGCACCCCCACCCCCCCAGCCUGCUCACCUAGGGCUGCCCCCAGGCCUCCCUGAGCUCCAAAGAAUAUGUUCUUUGGUGCUUCUUUUUUUUUGGCUCUGUCUCCCAGGCUGGAAUGCAGCUGUGGUGCUCACGCCAGCCUCCCACGUCAGCCUCCUGAGUAGCUAGGUCUACAGGUGCACACCACCACACCCGGAUAGUGUUUAGUCUUCUAUAAAGACAGGGUCUCACUGUGUUGCCCAGGCUGGUCUCGAACUCUUGGGCUCAGGUGAUCCCCCACGCACGGCAGCUUUGACACUUACUUGACCCUUUCCUCCUAAGCUCUACCCUGACGCUGGCUGUGUGUCCCAGAGACUUCAUCAGAAGCUGGAAGAAGGGCUGUGACGUGUGUGACAGCAGGAACUGCUGGUCAACCCACAGCCGGCCAGCCUGCGGGGACGCCACCUUGGCCCGAUCUUGGCGGGGAGAGGGGAGUGUAUCGGACUCUGGGGAGAGCAGCUGCCUGCACGGGCAGGGUCCUCCCGUCUCAGGAUUAACGUUCUCAACUGUAUUUGAUUUCUCCUCAGCCAGAGGGGGUAAGGUGGCCUUCCCAGAGGCACAGGUGGGCCGCGUGUCAGAGGCUCUGGACAGCCUGUGCCUCUCCCGGGCCUCCCAGCAGGGGUGGCUCUCGCCUCUCUGGAGGGGAGACCCCAGGAACCGGCCCCCGCCCUCAGCCACAGCCUCACAGGGUCCUUGUUUCUCGGGGCCUGGCUCUGUGGGUGCACACGGCACAGUCGGGCUCCUGUCCUUCUGGAAGGCUCCAGAGUGGCAUGUGGGCAGCUGCGUGACGCGGCCCCCCAGAUCUCCAUCCAGCCUGGCCUGCAGCAGCUCCCUACGCCCUCUGCUACCUCCCCUGCCUACCUUUGGGUAGACGUUCUCUUGACCCUUCCUUCUGUGAUAAAGCAAAAGCGUGUGAUCUCUUUUCUCACCAAGGAAUAAAACGUCUCUGAAUA